GCUGAAGCUAGAGUCACAUCCUGGUACUUUGUCAUGCUGUUCUGGUGUGCUACAGAUACUCAGUGAAGUCUGACCCUAUUCACUGAUUGAACCUUUGUGGUUCAGCCAGUCACCUGCUCAGAUACAUAU
This is a small nucleolar RNA of Protopterus annectens (West African lungfish), 129 nucleotides long. RefSeq annotates it as small nucleolar RNA SNORA3/SNORA45 family. The record is from RefSeq and is a predicted model, not a curated record. The transcript has a single exon. Lineage: Eukaryota; Metazoa; Chordata; Ceratodontiformes; Protopteridae.